GACGAACGCUGGCGGCGUGCUUAACACAUGCAAGUCGAACGGAAAGGCCCUGCUUUUGUGGGGUGCUCGAGUGGCGAACGGGUGAGUAACACGUGAGUAACCUGCCCUUGACUUUGGGAUAACUUCAGGAAACUGGGGCUAAUACCGGAUAGGAGCUCCUGCUGCAUGGUGGGGGUUGGAAAGUUUCGGCGGUUGGGGAUGGACUCGCGGCUUAUCAGCUUGUUGGUGGGGUAGUGGCUUACCAAGGCUUUGACGGGUAGCCGGCCUGAGAGGGUGACCGGCCACAUUGGGACUGAGAGACGGCCCAGACUCCUACGGGAGGCAGCAGGGGGGAAUAUUGUACAAUGGGCGGAAGCCUGAUGCAGCAACGCCGCGUGCGGGAUGACGGCCUUCGGGUUGUAAACCGCUUUCGCCUGUGACGAAGCGUGAGUGACGGUAAUGGGUAAAGAAGCACCGGCUAACUACGUG
This 468-nucleotide ribosomal RNA is filed under the name uncultured bacterium. Its description in RNAcentral is "partial 16S ribosomal RNA". It matches the Rfam family "Bacterial small subunit ribosomal RNA", at positions 28 to 507 of the family's 1533-position model. The record is from RNAcentral.